UCAUAGUGUUCAUCGCUCAGGCUCUCGCUGAUGAAGAUCAUUCUUCCUACUUCUUGACACACAGAGUUCGUUCAUUGUUCAUUUAUGUGGUAAGUCAUGUUCUUCGUUCAUCAUUAAAUCCCUAAAUUCAUAAAACCCGAAAACCCUAAUUCCUCUCUUCUUUUCUUUUUUUCAUUCACUCACGUGAAAGCAUUUAUGCAGGCUUGAGCUUUGUUGUCUAGAUCGGAGGCCAACACAUGUAGUUGGCCUUUCGGGGUAGGGUUUAUAAUGACCCAAUUUAAAAAACUUAAAAAAAAGACCCUCUUUUUCUAGGGUUCUCCAUCACAAAUCAGAACCAAACAACAUCCUACUCUACUUGACUGCUCUGCUUGAUUAUGUAUGUAUGCAGUAUGAAGGUGUAGCCAAUGAGGGUGGUAGAGGACCGAGUAUUUCGGAUACCUGCAUUCAUAAAUAUCCAGUAAUUAACAUGCAAAAAAGGUAGAAGACAGAAGCAAUGAGGAUGUUGUAGUUUACUCGUAUCACAGCUACAAGGACAAUGUUCAGAUUAUGAAGGAUAUGAAUUUGGAUGUUUAUAGAUUUUACAUGGUCAAGAAUUCUUACGAGUAAUUCAAAUAUAGAUCUAUGAUUAUUUUGGAGUAAGCUUUACUUGUUUGGAUGUUUCAUUACAAUCAUUACUUAUUUAUCUACUAUAAACUGCAUAUAUAUUCACAUAUGGAAAGCUAAGUGAAGGUAUAAACCAAGAAGGAAUUAACUCUUACAACAACCUUAUCAAUGAGGAAUUGGCA
This is a non-coding RNA of Vigna umbellata (rice bean), 785 nucleotides long. NCBI's taxonomy places the organism in Eukaryota, Viridiplantae, Streptophyta, Magnoliopsida, Fabales, Fabaceae. The record is from RefSeq and is a predicted model, not a curated record.